GUCCCUGCCUUAAGCAGGGAACUAAUGUUUUCAUGUAACUCAAUUAGUUUGUCAAAUGAAAUCAAAAAUAUUUAAUUCUAAAGUUUUAAGUAUGAUUCUUUUGAUUUUUUUUAUUUUUCAAAUUAUUUUAAUUUUUUCCUAAAAACAUUAUUGGCUGAUAGAAUUUUCCUGGGGGCUUAAAUAAAUUUUCAAUAACAAAAAAUAUAGAAAUUAGUUGGCACUGUGCUUACCGCAAGUGCUCUGUACAAUUUCAUUAAUGAUUUUGUAACUUGAAACAGGCAUUUGUACAGGUUUUUUAAUGACUCCAGUUGGCAUUCGUGGCAGUUUUAAUCUGUGUGUCAUUCACUAAAAAAACUACACUGCGUUCAUUGCUUCUACAAUUUUGUUGCAUUCUCAUUUGGCAGGGUGAAAGAUUUAAGGAAGCAGACCAUUUUGUUUGCGAAAAGUUUCCUAAGAAGACUGCAUAAAUACAGGGUAUCCUUUGCACAACACAGUCUUACAAAUUUCACAUGCUUACUGCUCAAGAGUAUCUUUUGCAUGGGAAAAUAUUCUAGCUUCGACAUGCUUGCUGCCCAAGGUCAGUAAUGAAUUCUUAAAGUUGCUCCUUGUUCAGUUCUUCAAACAUAAACUGCUUUCCUCUUUGUCUAUAUUCGAUAUUUCUAAUUGGGCACCACAAUAGAUAAAAAUCUUCUUAGUCUAAGUAAGUAAUUGAGUAAAAUGGUUAUAGACACUAGUUCAAACAAACAAAAUACAUCAGAAAACCCAAUUAUAGUAGAAACAUACAAAUCACAUGACCAACCACUUAUGAUGUCAAUUGAUGAGGCUCUA
Cryptomeria japonica (Japanese cedar) is the source of this 828-nucleotide long non-coding RNA. RefSeq lists it as uncharacterized. The transcript has 3 exons. The record is from RefSeq and is a predicted model, not a curated record. Lineage: Eukaryota; Viridiplantae; Streptophyta; Pinopsida; Cupressales; Cupressaceae.